AUGAGGGUGUUGGCAGAGUGGCAGCAGGCCAGGGGGCGUUGCCCACUUCCCUCCAGUGGGGACUCCCAGUUCCCGGUCAGGCCCGCCCUGGGCCCAGAGGCCUGGUGGCGCCUGCGCGGCUUCCCUUUCUCCGUGACUGUGGGGCUGUGUGACCAUGUGGCCGGCAGCCAUCUGGCACGGAAGGCUUUCCUGCAGCCGUCGUCUCCACAGCUGGCUCAUCAGAGAAUGCUCCCAGGGGGAACAAGGACAGGAAAUGCACCGUGGCCACCUGCUUCCUGUUUUGGGAGAAAGGAAGUCCUGAGACCACCCCAGGUGGCGGUGAGGGGGCUCCCAGGAAGAUUCUCGACAGCAUCCAAGCUGCAGGGCAGAGCCUUGACCCAUGCCAUCUACUCCAGAAGUUUCCAGCAUUAGGCCCUUAAGGAGCACCCUCGGGGGUUCAAGGACCUGCACGUGUCCUGGGGUGAAGGGCAGGCUCUGGAGGCUCACCAGGUGGGCCAAGGCCCUGCGGCCUCUCCCUGUCCUGUGCUACCAGCCUGUGGUACACAGGUGUCCUUCCUCGUCCACGGGUAGGCAGGGCUCUUGGAAGGGGUGCCUCGUGCCCCCAGCUCUCAGUCUAGACAAGAGGAUCUGACGCAGGUGCCUGCGGUCACCCACUGCAGCACCAGCACCGGGCACGCUUUGCCCAGGAGGCCUGUCCAGACCAGGGGCUCUGGCGUCUGGAGGACAGACUACUUUGGGCGUAGCCGCGGGGUCAGGGGUGUGCCGAUGGAGGCUGAACAUCCUUGCUGCUUUGAGGAGGGAAAGUGCGGGGCUCCAGCACCCACGGCUGCCACGACCUUCCUAGGGGGGUGGGGCGGGGCGGGAGUGCCGUGAUGCUGAUUCCAGGGCAGAGGCGGGGCCUCUGCAUGAUUCCAGCUUAAAAGUAAAAUUUCCAGGGACACCUGGGUGGCUCAACGGUUGAGCCCUUCCCUUGGGCUCAGGGCGUGAUCCUGGGGUCCGGGGAUCGAGUCCCACAUCGGGCUCCCUGCAUGGAGCCUGCUUCUCCCUCUGCCUAUGUCUCUGCCUCUCUCUCUAUGUCCCUCAUUAAUAAAUAAAAUCUUAAAAAAAAAAAAAAUAAAUAAAUAAAUAAAUAAAAUCUUUAAAAUAAAAAUAAAUAAAAAUAAAAAAUAAAAUACAUUUUCCAGUUAUUUUACCAGUAAAAAUGUUUUGUUUUGUUUUGUUUUAUUUUGUUUUGUUUUGUUUUUUCAGGAAUGGCAGAGAACUGCAAGCCAAAGCCAGCAAAACCACAGGCAGGUGUGCCCCGCAAAGGAUGAAGUGGAGCGCCGAGGGGCUGCUGUCAACUGAAAGCCCAUUGGACUAAACUGGGAGCUGGAUGUGUGACGGCUUCUCAUUGGCUGGGCUGUUGCCAGGGGAGGAGGAAACCUUCCUUCCUCCCGCCCUGCGGUGAGGGAGCAGGAACGCAGUAGCGUGGGGAGGGCCGCUCCAUUCCCAUCGGAUUUGUGGUUCGGAUUUGUGGUUCGGAUUUGUGGUUGGUGAGGGUGGGAGGGCAUGAGAGCUCCCCCUGCCCAAACUCCCGACUUCCCUUUUAGUGAGGUUUCCUUUUACGAAUUUUCUCAGUAGGCCUGGGGUGCGGUGGGAAAGACCCCGGUAGGAAAGUCGUUCUGGCCGGGAGGGGCCCCUGUGGGGCAAGCACUGGGGUCCGCAGGCACACGGCAGCACAGCCCCUGCAGCUGGAGCCAGCCCAGUCACCGUAGAGACCACCGACUCUGCAGGGGGGGCACCCUGGGGAAUCCUGGUGGUGGGGGUAGGGUUGCUGGGGGUCUGAAGUGGGGGCUAUAGGUAGGACAAGCAGCCGUGACAGGUCACUGGGCACCCUGAUAGACAGGUGGACAGUACUGAGGAGGCCAGCAGGAGGCCUUGGGUAGGGCCUGGUGCUUGCGAGCUGAAUUCCUGUGCUCCGGCCCCCCAUCUCUGUGCAGGUCCCCACCUGGGCCAGGCCAUCACCACUAGGCCCCAUCUCCCCCAUCCUGGCAAUCACCACCCUAAGCUCAGCUCAGGCCUGACGCCACUCUGUGCGCCCUCAUGGAGCUAGCUCUGUCUCAGGCCCUCCUUAGGGGCUGGAUUGUGUCCCCCAAAUCCAUCUGCUGAGUCCUGGUCUCAGGACUUCAGAGGGUGACUGUGCUGCAGGAGGUGAUCAAGGUAGAGGAAGUCACUGAGAGCCCUGAUCCACGCCCACUGGUGUCCUUACAAGAAGAGACCAGGAUGCAGACAAGCACCGUGGGAUGACCCUGUGAGGCCACAGGGACAAGACGGUGUCUACACACUGAGGAGAGAGCCCUCAGGAGGGACCGGUACCGCUGGCACCUUGAUCCUAGCCUUCUUCCUCCAGGACUGUGGGAUGGGACGUUUCUGUCAUUUCAGCCCCCAGGGUCUGGUGCUCCCGGCAGCCGGAGCUGACUAGUGUACCCCUCAACCCUGGAGUUUCCUUCUUCAGCCUCCGGCAGGGCAGGGUACCCCCUGACACUCCGGUGACACAGGGCCCCACAUGCAGCAGUGCCGUCUGCAUACCCGGGAGAGGCGUGGUCUGAAUCAGUGCCCCUCGGGGGGUCAUGGUCCCCUGGGGCUGCCCCCCACCAGUGCCAGCCUGAGCCUGAGGUCUGGUUGAUGGAGGGCAGCUAUAGCCCAGGGUAAGGUCUCGGGCCAGGAGCGGGGUCCCUGGAGGAGCCGACUCCGUGGAUUCUGAGUGAGGAUCCGGGCCCCGGGGUGAAUCCCCGGACCUGGAAGCCGGGCCCUGGAAUACCCAGGGCCUGAGGCGAAGAGCUCCGUGGCCCGGGCUCCCAGGGUCCAGGCUGGGCUGGAGUUUGCCUCCACGGCGGCCACGAAGACCACGCGCUUGCUCAGGAGAUGGAGUCCACCCAGAGCGUUCCCCUGCUGAGUCCCGGGGGUACCCCGGUGCUUGGGCUGCUGGGCUCCAUGCUCCCAGGACGGGGGUCCUUCCGGGUGCAAUUAGAUGGGUCUCCCGCUCCUCAAAGCUGACGGCACUGGGGACUGUCCCAGUCCGCAGACUAGGGGAGCCAAGGCGUCCUCUUGGGUGAGCACAGAGCCUGAGGUCCAGAAGGCCCUUGCUGGGGCCCAGACCUCAGGGGCGGGCACGGGCGGGGCGGGGCGUGGAGAGGGCGGGCACGGGCAUG
This 3191-nucleotide long non-coding RNA is filed under the name Canis lupus familiaris (dog). Its description in RNAcentral is "lncRNA (ENSCAFG00000058524.1)". The record is from RNAcentral. Lineage: Eukaryota; Metazoa; Chordata; Mammalia; Carnivora; Canidae.